GGGGUUCGGAGCGGCGCCGGCACAGCGAAGGCGGCGGGCGAGCGACGGCGACGGCGACGGCGGGCACAGAUCAAUUAAAAGAAGAAUGAACUGUAAUCCCUGAAGAUAAACUGGGCAGCUUUUUUACUUAGUGUAUGUAUAUUGCUAAUUAUAAAAGUUCAGGUGGAGCCAGGCUCCUGCUGUGUGGAGAUUUAGACAAGUCUUCAGUUUGUCAGCACAGAGCCACAGACCACCAUUUUCAGUGAGGAUACCUGCCUCUUCUUUUUUGGUGUUCUUGGCAAAAACUAAAACCAUUGCAUCAUUGUAACUCGUGUUUGGGUGUAGUUUCAGGAUACAGUCAUGGCAUAAACUUUCCACAUGCUUUGCUUAAAGAACAAAACCAA
This 383-nucleotide long non-coding RNA is filed under the name Rattus norvegicus (Norway rat). RNAcentral's name for it is "long non-coding RNA NONRATT016293". Lineage: Eukaryota; Metazoa; Chordata; Mammalia; Rodentia; Muridae. The record is from RNAcentral.